GUUUUUGAAACAGUCACUCCAUUUUCAAAGUCUGUCUUUCCUUACAGAAUGUAGAAAUUAUUUUGACAUAGGUUGUCAAACCUGAGCACUAAGAGGAACACUGUCGUAAUAACUUGGUUAUCCAUAAAUGUUCAUUCCAAUAGGACUCUGUUACUGAAUUGAAGGAAGAUAACUUCAGUACACUCUUUUAGGUCAUGCUAGUUGCCAUUUUGUAAAAUUUCUUUUCUCUCCUUUGUUUUUUUCCUUAUUUAGUUUAAUUUUUCUAAUGGUAGGAAAUAUAAAAUAACCCUAGAUGUUUCCAUGGGCCAGUGUGAUGACUGGUUUUUAGUUUUUGUUUUUUUUAACUGGCUCCAAUGCUGCCAUGUGUAUUUACUAGGAGAUAAUGCAUUUAUAAGUAUUUUAACAUUCUGUAAAGUGGACUAGAAAUAUUUAUAAUUUUACAGACACCACAGC
RNAcentral lists this long non-coding RNA (453 nucleotides) under Bos taurus (domestic cattle). RNAcentral's name for it is "long non-coding RNA NONBTAT022319". Lineage: Eukaryota; Metazoa; Chordata; Mammalia; Artiodactyla; Bovidae. The record is from RNAcentral.